CCUACGGGUGGCAGCAGUCGAGAAUCAUUCACAAUGGGGGAAACCCUGAUGGUGCGACGCCGCGUGGGGGAAUGAAGGUCUUCGGAUUGUAAACCCCUGUCAUGUGGGAGCAAAUUAAAAAGAUAGUACCACAAGAGGAAGAGACGGCUAACUCUGUGCAAGCAGCCGCGGUAAUACGGAGGUCUCAAGCGUUGUUCGGAAUCACUGGGCGUAAAGCGUGCGUAGGCUGUUUCGUAAGUCGUGGGUGAAAGGCGGGGGCUCAAACCGCGGACGGCACAUGAUACUGCGAGACUAGAGUAAUGGUGGGGGAAGCGGAAUGCUCGGUGUAGCAGUGAAAGGCGUAGAGAU
Molecule: ribosomal RNA, 348 nt
Filed under: uncultured bacterium
Lineage: Bacteria
Description: partial 16S ribosomal RNA
Rfam family: Bacterial small subunit ribosomal RNA
Source: RNAcentral